GCCAGAUGAUGAUGAGCAGGCUGUGGUGAUUCAGUGUGCCGGCUAAGUUCUAGGCCCUUUGUCCUGUCGAGGUCUGUAAUCUUGGUGAGCGUUGCAGAGUUGUGUGCGCUCGCUGUAAGGGCAGACCAACAUGAAUUCCUUCCUACUUUGGAGCCGCCUCUCUUUCAUGGGAGGGGCUCUUCCGGUUGCCCGGGAGACGGCAAGGCAGCUGGAGUUGGAGUAGGAACAGGGCUUGCUUCGAUUUCCAUGGAGGGCAGAGGGUCUGUAAGGACUUAGCCCUGUGAGCGGCCACUGGAGAUGACACACACAUCUUUGGUAAUCUGAUGGCU
Molecule: small nucleolar RNA, 329 nt
Organism: Dipodomys spectabilis (banner-tailed kangaroo rat)
Lineage: Eukaryota; Metazoa; Chordata; Mammalia; Rodentia; Heteromyidae
Source: RefSeq, a predicted model, not a curated record